Molecule: ribosomal RNA, 417 nt
Filed under: uncultured bacterium
Lineage: Bacteria
Description: bacterial SSU rRNA
Rfam family: Bacterial small subunit ribosomal RNA
Source: RNAcentral
UGAGGGGAUAUUGGGUCAAUGGGGGAAACCCUGAACCCAGCAACGCCGCGUGAGGGAUGACGGCCUUCGGGUUGUAACCUCUGUCCUCUGUGAAGAUAAUGACGGUAGCAGAGGAGGAAGCUCCGGCUAACUACGUGCCAGCAGCCGCGGUAAUACGUAGGGAGCAAGCGUUGUCCGGAUUUACUGGGUGUAAAGGGUGCGUAGGCGGUUUGGUAAGUCAGAAGUGAAAUCCAUGGGCUUAACCCAUGAACUGCUUUUGAAACUAUCGAACUUGAGUGAAGUAGAGGUAGGCGGAAUUCCCGGUGUAGCGGUGAAAUGCGUAGAGAUCGGGAGGAACACCAGUGGCGAAGGCGGCCUACUGGGCUUUAACUGACGCUGAGGCACGAAAGCAUGGGUAGCAAACAGGAUUAGAUACCC